Oxyura jamaicensis (ruddy duck) is the source of this 607-nucleotide long non-coding RNA. RefSeq lists it as uncharacterized. The record is from RefSeq and is a predicted model, not a curated record. NCBI's taxonomy places the organism in Eukaryota, Metazoa, Chordata, Aves, Anseriformes, Anatidae. The transcript has 3 exons.
GGAUGCGCAAAAAGGCAUGUGUGUUCCACACCCCUACCCCCCAGAAACGCCCCCCCUUUGUUGUGCACUUCUAAACACCCCCCUGUUUUGCAGCCCUACCCCCAGAAACAGCCCCCUCUCCCCCACGUUGCGCACCCGUAACCCCAGAAACAUCCCCCCCCAACAAAAACAGUGGUCAAAUAAAUUAUGUUUUUCUAUUAGUUCCAUUGUCCUAACACUUCGGACACUUCUGGAUGGCAUAGACAACAGAGGGGAGAAUGUGGUAGUCAGAACCACUAACAGACUAGGUUCUAUAGAUCCUGCUUUACAGAGACCAGGACACUUUGACAGAGAGUUCCUCUUCAACUUGCCAAAUAAAGAGAUUCUUGGACACUUCAGAUGACUCCUACUGGACAUUCUCAGGUAGACCAGCAACAGGAGCUCUUGUGACCAGGCCAAUUGCAAAUGAAGUCAGUUGUUAACCAAUGCCAACGAAAACAAUGACGUGGAAGGACAUAGAGAUUGUGAAGUACUGAACCUAGAAUGCAGUGUGACUGUUUAGUGUCCACACCUGGUGUAGAUUUCUGUAGGCUACCGUUUGCUUUUGGUCAGCUGUAGUUUAGGAGAC